AGAGUUUGAUCCUGGCUCAGGAUGAACGCUAGCUACAGGCUUAACACAUGCAAGUCGAGGGGCAUCAGGAAGAAAGCUUGCUUUCUUUGCUGGCGACCGGCGCACGGGUGAGUAACACGUAUCCAACCUGCCCUUUACUCGGGGAUAGCCUUUCGAAAGAAAGAUUAAUACCCGAUGGCAUAAUGAUUCCGCAUGGUUUCAUUAUUAAAGGAUUCCGGUAAAGGAUGGGGAUGCGUUCCAUUAGGUUGUUGGUGAGGUAACGGCCCACCAAGCCUUCGAUGGAUAGGGGUUCUGAGAGGAAGGUCCCCCACAUUGGAACUGAGACACGGUCCAAACUCCUACGGGAGGCAGCAGUGAGGAAUAUUGGUCAAUGGGCGCUAGCCUGAACCAGCCAAGUAGCGUGAAGGAUGAAGGCUCUAUGGGUCGUAAACUUCUUUUAUAUAAGAAUAAAGUGCAGUAUGUAUACUGUUUUGUAUGUAUUAUAUGAAUAAGGAUCGGCUAACUCCGUGCCAGCAGCCGCGGUAAUACGGAGGAUCCGAGCGUUCUCCGGAUUUAUUGGGUUUAAAGGGAGCGUAGGUGGACUGGUAAGUCAGUUGGGAAAGUUUGCGGCUCAACCGUAAAAUUGCAAUUGAUACUGUCAGUCUUGAGUACAGUAGAGGUGGGCGGAAUUCGUGGUGUAGCGGUGAAAUGCUUAGAUAUCACGAAGAACUCCGAUUCCGAAGGCAGCUCACUGGACUGCAACUGACACUGAUGCUCGAAAGUGUGGGUAUCAAACAGGAUUAGAUACCCUGGUAGUCCACACAGUAAACGAUGAAUACUCGCUGUUUGCGAUAUACAGUAAGCGGCCAAGCGAAAGCAUUAAGUAUUCCACCUGGGGAGUACGCCGGCAACGGUGAAACUCAAAGGAAUUGACGGGGGCCCGCACAAGCGGAGGAACAUGUGGUUUAAUUCGAUGAUACGCGAGGAACCUUACCCGGGCUUAAAUUGCAGUGGAAUGAUGUGGAAACAUGUCAGUGAGCAAUCACCGCUGUGAAGGUGCUGCAUGGUUGUCGUCAGCUCGUGCCGUGAGGUGUCGGCUUAAGUGCCAUAACGAGCGCAACCCUUAUCUUUAGUUACUAACAGGUCAUGCUGAGGACUCUGGAGAGACUGCCGUCGUAAGAUGUGAGGAAGGUGGGGAUGACGUCAAAUCAGCACGGCCCUUACGUCCGGGGCUACACACGUGUUACAAUGGGGGGUACAGAAGGCAGCUAGCGGGUGACCGUAUGCUAAUCCCAAAAGCCUCUCUCAGUUCGGAUCGAAGUCUGCAACCCGACUUCGUGAAGCUGGAUUCGCUAGUAAUCGCGCAUCAGCCACGGCGCGGUGAAUACGUUCCCGGGCCUUGUACACACCGCCCGUCAAGCCAUGGGAGCCGGGGGUACCUGAAGUACGUAACCGCAAGGAUCGUCCUAGGGUAAAACUGGUGACUGGGGCUAAGUCGUAACAAGGUAGCC
RNAcentral lists this ribosomal RNA (1490 nucleotides) under uncultured bacterium. RNAcentral's name for it is "bacterial SSU rRNA". It matches the Rfam family "Bacterial small subunit ribosomal RNA". The record is from RNAcentral.